AACGAACGCUGGCGGCAGGCCUAACACAUGCAAGUCGAACGCUCCGCAAGGGGAGUGGCGCACGGGUGAGUAACACGUGGGAACCUACCUUCUGGUACGGAACAACCAAGGGAAACUUUGGCUAAGACCGUAUACGACCUCCGGGUGAAAGAUUGAUCGCCGGAGAGGGGCCCGCGUCCGAUUAGGUAGUUGGUGAGGUAACGGCUCACCAAGCCUUCGAUCGGUAGCUGGUCUGAGAGGAUGACCAGCCACACUGGGAC
Molecule: ribosomal RNA, 260 nt
Filed under: uncultured bacterium
Lineage: Bacteria
Description: partial 16S ribosomal RNA
Rfam family: Bacterial small subunit ribosomal RNA
Source: RNAcentral